AUACGGAGGGUGCGAGCGUUAAUCGGAAUUACUGGGCGUAAAGCGUACGUAGGCGGUUGGUUAAGUGAGAUGUGAAAGCCCCGGGCUUAACCUGGGAACUGCAUUUAAAACUGGCGAACUAGAGUUGAGUAGAGGGGAGUGGAAUUUCAGGUGUAGCGGUGAAAUGCGUAGAGAUCUGAAGGAACACCAGUGGCAAAGGCGACUCCCUGGACUCGAACUGACGCUGAGGUACGAAAGCGUGGGUAGCAAACGGGAUUAGAUACCCUAGUAGUCC
RNAcentral lists this ribosomal RNA (274 nucleotides) under uncultured bacterium. Its description in RNAcentral is "partial 16S ribosomal RNA". It matches the Rfam family "Bacterial small subunit ribosomal RNA", at positions 523 to 796 of the family's 1533-position model. The record is from RNAcentral.